Molecule: long non-coding RNA, 190 nt
Organism: Xenopus laevis (African clawed frog)
Lineage: Eukaryota; Metazoa; Chordata; Amphibia; Anura; Pipidae
Exons: 3
Source: RefSeq, a predicted model, not a curated record
AAUGUACUGAGACAAACCAGAAUUUCUGAGAUUUCACUGGAAGUAGCAGAGGAAGGAACAUCUUUUACCAUAAGCCCCAGAGCAUACUUGAUCGAGAAAUGUGAAUGCCCACAGGGAUAUUCAGGAUUGUCAUGUGAGGCUUGUGCCCCAGGAUUUUACAGAGUACCUCCAACAACUCCCGGCAGAAGAA